RNAcentral lists this long non-coding RNA (615 nucleotides) under Ananas comosus (pineapple). Its description in RNAcentral is "long non-coding RNA (ACOM_LNC031868)". The record is from RNAcentral. Lineage: Eukaryota; Viridiplantae; Streptophyta; Magnoliopsida; Poales; Bromeliaceae.
AUUAUAAAUUUAAAAAGGGAUAAUUGCCUAUAUACCCCUUAAAAUUUCAGAAAUAUCUUAUUGGCCCCUAUUUUUUUUUCUUUCUAAUAUAUCCCUCAUAUGUUCCUCCGUUAUUCCAAAAUAUUUCUACAGUCCGUUAAGUUAACUUGAGUUAAACAUGAGUUAAAUAUCUAUUAGAGUAAAAAAAAAUCAAAAUGCCUCUUUUGUUCUUAACUUAAGAGCAAAUAAAAAAUAUUCGUGAUGGUAGAGAGAUAUAUUUGAAAAGAUCAAAAGUCAAAAUACUUUUUGUACCCGCGACUUAAGGGCAAAUAAGAAAAGUCAGGAUGGUGGAAAGGGAUAUUUGAAAAGGCAAAAUAGUAAUUUUAUACAGAUAAUAGCUAUUGCUAAUAGUUUAUUAACAGAAUUUAACUUUAGUGAUAUAUUGGAAAGAGGUUGGAACAUAAAGAGGGUAUUUUCAAUAAUAACCUUCUAAGAAGGGUAAAUUCGAAAGUCGGAAAUUUUUGGGGAGUACAUAUAUAAGCAAUUGCCCCAUUUAAAAAUAUGCGAAAAAGAAAGUUGUUGAAGUGUCUUUUGAUUUGAAUUUUGAUGGAACUUUAUAGCAACUAGAAGGAUGAU